UGAAGACACCCUCAAGCCAUCAGUAAGGGAGCCCUAAGAUUAUACACUGAAAUGAAGCCACCUAUCCAAGAGCCACCUGCAAGCUGGAGGCAGGCCCUGCCACUCAUACGAGCUGCAUAGUGCAGCGGAUUGCAUAUUGCUAAAUACCGAUCGUAAGACAUCACCGACAGGAGAAGGCAUUCUGUAGCCACCAUUGAACCAAAGAAAUAGUAUUGUGUGAGGCAGGCACUAAAUGAAAUGGUCCUGUCCCCUGUCAGGAGACCAGCCAGCACCCUGGGAAGGAUGGUGGAAGAGCAGCAGGUCUCCAAGCAGGACAAGUUCCCCAGGAAGAAGUACAUGGGGGUGUGAAGGUGCUGAUCAGCCACAACUAGUGCAAAGAUCAGGACGUUCCCAGUCACGGUUGCAAUGUAGAUGGCAAGAAAUAACAGGAAGAGAAGAGUCUGUAGCUCAGGGAGAUUCCCAAAUCCUCGUAGGAUGAAUUCCAUGAGAACCGUUUGAUUCACUUGCUCUGGGUUCACCAUGAAGUCCAACUAGGGGAAAGAAACCCAAAUUUACAAUGGAAUCCGAAGAAGAUAUAUUUACAUCAUGCUUUAGCAUUAGUUUAGUUCCAUAAAUAUUGCAUAAAGCCCCUCAUCCUGUGGGGUCAGUGAAGAACCAAGACUCUGGAGGCAAAUUUCCUGUUUAGAUCUUUGAGAUUCCAGUAUCACCCCCCUCUGUUCAGUGAAGAGAUCGAUGAAGGCGGAAAACCACACAAACCGCCGUGCAUAUUUAUGUCAAAAUUGGCAGAGCCAUUUUGAAUUAGUUGUUUUUAACUUCAACAAGUGGUCCCCAUGGCUCACCAGGGUGGACUGUGACUUCUUGCACUGCAAACAUAUUAUCAGUUCAGCUAACAGCUAGGAGGCUCUAGUGGACUCAGCCAAGAGCGGGGACAGUGAUCAACAUGCUGUCAAAGCAGGUUACAUUAUUCUCCAUGAGACAAAGU
Mauremys mutica (yellowpond turtle) is the source of this 982-nucleotide long non-coding RNA. RefSeq lists it as uncharacterized. NCBI's taxonomy places the organism in Eukaryota, Metazoa, Chordata, Testudines, Geoemydidae. The transcript is spliced from 3 exons. The record is from RefSeq and is a predicted model, not a curated record.